AAGGCUUGACAUAUACGAGAACGGGCCAGAAAUGGUCAACUCUUUGGACACUCGUAAACAGGUGGUGCAUGGUUGUCGUCAGCUCGUGUCGUGAGAUGUUGGGUUAAGUCCCGCAACGAGCGCAACCCUCGUUCUAUGUUGCCAGCACGUAAUGGUGGGAACUCAUGGGAUACUGCCGGGGUCAACUCGGAGGAAGGUGGGGAUGACGUUCCCUUCCAUCACA
RNAcentral lists this unclassified non-coding RNA (223 nucleotides) under uncultured Microbacteriaceae bacterium. Its description in RNAcentral is "contains 16S-23S intergenic spacer region". It matches the Rfam family "Bacterial small subunit ribosomal RNA", at positions 978 to 1197 of the family's 1533-position model. Lineage: Bacteria; Bacillati; Actinomycetota; Actinomycetes; Micrococcales; Microbacteriaceae. The record is from RNAcentral.